This is a long non-coding RNA of Cheilinus undulatus (humphead wrasse), 600 nucleotides long. RefSeq lists it as uncharacterized. The transcript is spliced from 5 exons. The record is from RefSeq and is a predicted model, not a curated record. NCBI's taxonomy places the organism in Eukaryota, Metazoa, Chordata, Actinopteri, Labriformes, Labridae.
UCAGAUGAAGCUCGUGGUCUGAGCAGUGAGGUUGUAAACACUGUUUUCUGUAUGGAUUCCUCUAUCCUAGUAUAUAAACUCUCUUUCUGGACCCUUCCCCUCAUUGAGGAGUAUUCAGCGGCCUCCUAGCUACACGUACAGUCUCGGAAGUUUUCGGUGUGAAACAGGAAAUUCCACAAGUCUGCCUCGGAAGAAUGGAUCGCUGAGCAUUACAAAGAUCUACAGAGAAAAGCUCUGCAUGAGAAGUACAGCAAAGGUUAACAUCUACAUUCAUGUGCUGAAGAUCGUGACUGCUUUCCUUAUAUGACAGAUCCUGAUGAAAAGCUGACCAAAGGUCAAUGAUGCCCCGAUCUCUGUGUGGACAGAAGCUGACCUCACUGAUCUACUCGGCCUUUUCAGCUCCUGCCUUGAACGUUUUUUAAUCAUGACUUUUUUUUUUCCUUGUUUAAUAUCACAUCCCACUUUGUUAAAGACUCAGUAUUCUUGCAUAGUCAAGUGUUAAAUUUGUUUCUAUCAUCAUUAUUUAAGCUUCUACUUUACUGUGUAAGAGCUAAACAGUUAAAGUGUACCUGUUUCUGAUGAAAUAAACAUUUGAACUCA